CGCUCUUUAUGGCUGGUCGCAAAAAAGGGGGAGCAAACUGGCACGAGCCUGCCGUCGUUGUCAGGGACGGGGUGCAUCUCUGAAAAAAAAUUGGGUAGGCUGUAACAAUAGCAGGAUUCAGUAUUGCUGUACAAUAUUCCAGAGAGCGUCAUAGGAAAUAAACAUGCCCAUGCCGCUCCUUUAUGAAACAUGAUGUGCAUAUGACACAUGGAAUGGCCAAUAUAUUUUUUGUUUGUUUCCUGGAUUACGACGAAGACAGCAGAAUAAAAUGGAGUGGUAGGGGGACCGAGGCUCGCUGUCUCCAUCAUAGGGAGGCGCGUCCACCUGCUGAUACAGGGAGUCCGGGCUUGGGAAAAACAUGGUGAGGUCGCUCCACUGAGAAGAUACAGUUUCCAUCUGUCAAAUAAACAACUGCAAAAUGGAAUGCUGUCGACUAGAAAAGCCCAGCCCGUGUGAACAGAGAGGUUAGAAGAGGGCGAUAAUGUAAGGGACAACAAGAACAACGCUAAAUUGAUGGAUGUUUUUGACGACCCCAACUUUUCUGUGCUGGUUCCAAACCUGGAACAGUUCAACAAAGACAAUGAGAGUGGUAAAACUAAAGAUAUUUCAUGUUUGCUUUUGUUAGAAGGGUAACAGGGCUACUUCUAUAUAAUAAAUGAAUGUAAAAAAGUAAUUCCCCUUCACAAUAUAUCAAAACAUAUGUUUAUAUUACAUUGUUAAAAGUCAGUUUCAAAUGUGUUAAAGCCUUUUCAAAUGUGUUUAACAGAGGGAAUGCUGCUACAUUAUCACAGUACAUGACGUCAUGAUGCUGGAUACAAGAAAGGCACAGUACUCUUAUGUGGAACAAGAUGCUAUGCACACUUUUCACCUCUUCUGCUAUUUAGUUUUGUCUGUGACCUUCACUGAACUGAAAGCCUUGAUAUUUAGUGACCUUAACCUGUGUUACUUCUCAAUCUCACACAUUAUAGAGGUGAUGAUGAAAUGAUGAGUAGUCAUUUUUUCCUGCUUGAAUUAGAUCUUUUAUGUCUGAUCUCUGUAAAUAAUUUGUACUUUGUUAAGCUUGUUGGAAAAACAUAACUUGGACCUUUAUCAACUGUAAGGAAGGAAGAGACAUUCUUCAAGAAGGGAAAUCGUACACAUUAUUAUAUUAAAAUGUAC
Esox lucius (northern pike) is the source of this 1158-nucleotide long non-coding RNA. Lineage: Eukaryota; Metazoa; Chordata; Actinopteri; Esociformes; Esocidae. The record is from Ensembl.